Molecule: long non-coding RNA, 3702 nt
Organism: Aedes albopictus (Asian tiger mosquito)
Lineage: Eukaryota; Metazoa; Arthropoda; Insecta; Diptera; Culicidae
Exons: 3
Source: RefSeq, a predicted model, not a curated record
AUGAUGGACGUCAUAUUUGAAUCGACCCUACGCUGUGUGGUAUUUGCGCGAUCGUUUGAACAACACGUGAGUUAUUUUUGUCCUUCACGAUCAUUGUAUGAAAGUUGAUAUAAACCGGCUGGUUUAAGAAUCUAAGGUUCGAAAUUUUAAUGUCUCAAACCGAAUGAACUGAUCCAUUUGACUUAUUUUCGCAAAUAUAUCGUAUGACCGGUACAUUUACAAGAUCCAGAUCUAUAUUCUUGAAUCGAAAUCAGUUACUGGUUGGAUCAAGGUCAAGAUCUUUUGGUUUGCUCUCAGCAUUGAACCAUGACAACAACGCAUGGGUGUUUGGCUCCGUGCCAUGAUCGAGUAUGAACUAAAUAACGAUCCUCGCGAUCAAGUGACAAUCAGCUGCUAAAUCUAUACAUUUACAACAGCCGACAAGAAUCUCCGUGUUUAAUUGUUAACAGUUUGUUAGUAAACUAUGUGGUUGAGAUUAGGUAUUUUUAUUUGGUUCCGCAAUGUGGCUUCCAAUACAAACACAAACGAGAUUAAAACGCGACAAUUUGAAGCGGUCAUGUGCUGCUCUGGUGGUACAUUGAUACUGGGGAAUUUAAUUCUGUAUUUGAAAAUCAUUAAAUGUUAAAAUAAGAAAACGUUUACGAAUUUACAUCUCUCUAUGUAUGUAGAGUUUACCACCAACAGACAACUUGCUUCCGGAUGCGAUCUGGGGAGUUCUAGCUUCAGUGGUUCCAUAGGUAUGGAAUCACAACAUUCUUCAAUAAUGAUGCAGUGCAUUGGCAUUCAGAAGGCCGGCUCCAGAGGAUACUCCAUUUGGGACAUUUGUGUAUUGGCCUUACUGUGGCUCAGAGCGUUCAUGAUUAACAAAAAUUUUAAUCAUGAUUAAUCAUUGAUGAUUAAAAUUUUUAUUUCAGUGAUUAUUGAUUAUGAUUAAUGAUUAAUUUUAUUUUGAGGAUUAUUAAAGAUUAUGAUUAAUGAUUAAAUUUGGUUUUAUCUGUGAUAAUUGAUUAUGAUUAAUGAUUAAAAAUGGCCCAUUGAUUAAAAAUCAUGAUUAAUCAUGAUAAAUCAAUCACAAAAACCGGAAGUGAUUAAUAUAUAGGUAUUUGUUGUUAAAAAUAUUUUUGAAGUUACAAAAGUAAAAGGUAACUCUGUUUGGGAGAUUUUUGAUAUAAGAAUCAUAAAUUAUAAUGUUUAGACCAGCAUUUAAACCAACUUCAAUUGAAUAAUAUAUUUUAUAUGAUGAAUCAUUUUUUGGUGAUGAAUGAUUAAUGAUUGAUUAACUUUUUUUCUUAUGAUUAUGAUUACUGAUUAAUGAUUAAAUUGCGAAAUCAGUGUGAUUAAGAUUAAUGAUUAAUGAUUAAAUGAGGAAUUUUUGUGAUUAUGAUUAAUGAUUUUUGAUUAAUCUUAAUCAUAAAUCAUUAAUCAUGAUUAAAUUUAUGAUUAAUCAUUAACGCUCUGUGUGGCUAUUGGUCCAGCACAUAUAUGAAAAGUACUGUAAAAGAUUUCAUUGCUAAAUGAUCAAUUUAAAAUUCAUAGGAAUUUGUAGAAAUUAUUUAAAUGUAAAAAAAAGAAAAAAAGACAAUUAAAUUACACCGUCUUCGACCUUGCGGCCACUUCAGACUGAACAUUACUAGGGUAAAAGGGUAUAAUACGCCCCACCGGGGCAAAACGCCCCCCUACAUUUUCUAGCGAUUCAAGCGCUUUUUACAUGCGGGAUCGAUUGGAAAUCUUAAAUAUUGAUGAUUAAUUAUUAUGCGUUGCGCGAAAAUUUUUGAGCGCAAGUGCUCGUAUACCUCCGCCAGUACGGUAAAUCGUGUUCGUGUUUUCGGCGCAGUAUUCUUUGGCCCAUUCGCGCACUUAUUGUAAAAGACACCAGAACGAUUAAACGUACGAGCGGAGGUCUAUUAGCGAUUUUGUACCAUUUUCGCUCUCUAUUUUCUUGCAACGGAUAAUACCAUCAAGCUGAUCCGUUAGUUGAUUGGUAUAGAAAAGCAAUAAAAAUAUCGAAAAGUCUGAAAUCGAGGCUUUUGGCGUAAUAUUUUACCUCUUGCAAGCUGGCUUCAUUGUAAACGAAGCCAGUUCUGUUCGCUUAUGUUAUUUUGCAACUUUUAUGCAGUUAAACAUUUGUUGAAAGGCCCUCCUAGGAUAAGCAUGUGGUAGAAUUAUCCCCUGGUACAGUUUUAUCACGGGGCUGGACGUUUUUCUUCUGAUGGGGCGUAUUGCCCCGUUUGUUUUGAUAAGGUAAAUUUUGGAACGUUUUCGGAAAACGUUUCAAAGCUUCCAUAGCCGUCCCUCCAGAGGUAAAGUUCUCAUGCAACACUUCACUGACUUUAGAAACAACGAUUUGCAGUGAACAAUAGAUGGAAUAAGGCGCCAAUUUUAGAUAUAUUGCCAUUUCUGCUUAGGGGGGGCAUAUUAUACCUGUUUACCCUAACAUUCGACAACUGACAACACAUAGAACACCCAGUGGCCCAAUGGAGAAUUUUCUAUUUGACGAAAAGUUUUCCCCGACUGGAGCGGGAACCGAACCCAUACUCCGAGGCUCACGAGACACCCGAAAGGCUGACGCCGCUAACCGCUCAGCCACGAAGGAUUCUGAGAUUUAUGAGGACUAAUUUUUAGCAUUUCUGUUCCAACUUCUGUUGUAACGCUUAGUCACUUUUUUGAAUUGGACAUAGUUUUUCAAGAUUUUAGGUGUAAAUUAAAAGUAAUUAUUUUCAUUGAAUAUUUAAAAAAAAGGUUAACAUCGUUGAAUUUGAAAUGCACGGCUAAAUUAGGAUAAAAGCUCUUCUUUGUACUAAAACAUUUAAGUCACUUUAUUAUACAACUUUCUAUAAAAGCUCAUUGAAAUAGGAUAAAAGCUUUUAAAGUUAUUUGUACUAAAAAGUUAAGGUGAAACAUAGAUGGCCCAAAGGAGUCGAAAAUAUGAACUGUGGUUGACUCGUCUAAAUUUUUAGUUUUGUAUUAGUAAAUGUCAAAUUACAUGAUCAGUAAAAUUUUACGUUCGAUCAAGUUUCGUAGAAUAGAUUCACCCAUUACCAAAUCUGAUCGGCAAGUGAGCAGACAGUUAGUUUCGGUGAUAGUGCUUUCAAUUUUUUCAAUCUAAGUUAUUAAAAAUAGUUCCGGAUUUAUUUUAUCACUGGGAACGGAAACUCUGCUCAUCUGUGCAGUUCUAAAUCUGUACAAAAGCGUCCAACGGACGCUUUUUUGUACGGGCUUCAAGCCCGCAGCUACACACUCCGCCAUUUUGAACAUCCACACGACCACGUGGGACAUUUCCGAGGACGCUCGCUCAUCCAGGCCCGCCACAGAGCUGGCAGUCAAACGGGUGGAGAGGAUUGUCUGGCCUGCCCGCAUUCUGAGAGGAGUGAUCGGGUAGCGUACUUGGACCUGCCGAAACCCUUCCCCGCACCUUUAUUCCGGCCAUCAGUGAUUCGAGCUUCUUUUCCGAGCCGUCCCUCGAAGGAACGGGAUCCCGCCGGCCCCGGCGGCAAACCCUUGCUCCGCCGCUGCGCUCGCCAAGAACAUCGCACUCCGUCCGUGCACCCCUCGUCAGCUGACAGCAUAAGUUAAACCCUGCGCAGGUAUGUCCUCAUAAUCAUGGCCAUGAACACACUACACAACACACACUCACACACUCUCACACUGGAUGCUUAAAACGAAAAAAUGAAUUAAUACAUAAAAAUGAAUUCAAACUCAACA